AUUGAACGCUGGCGGCAGGCCUAACACAUGCAAGUCGAGCGAGAGGCGGACGGGUGAGUAAUGUAUGGGGACUGCCCGCUGGCGGGGGAUAACUACUGGAAACGGUAGCUAAUACCGCCUACUAUAGGAUAACCCAUAUGGGGUUAUCUAGUAGGUGAGGUAAUGGCUCACCUAGGCGACGAUCCCUAGCUGGUCUGAGAGGAUGAGCAGCCACACUGGGACUGAGAAACGGCCCAGACUCCUACGGAUGCAGCAGUGGGGAAUAUUGCACAAUGGGCGCAAGCCUGAUGCAGCCAUGCCGCGUGUAUGAAGAAGGCCCUAGGGUUGUAAAGUACUUUCAGUCGGGAGGCGUUACCUACAGAAGAAGCACCGGCUAACUCCGUGCCAGCAGCCGCGGUAAUUC
Molecule: ribosomal RNA, 403 nt
Filed under: uncultured bacterium
Lineage: Bacteria
Description: partial 16S ribosomal RNA
Rfam family: Bacterial small subunit ribosomal RNA
Source: RNAcentral